This is a long non-coding RNA of Populus nigra (black poplar), 547 nucleotides long. RefSeq lists it as uncharacterized. The transcript has 2 exons. The record is from RefSeq and is a predicted model, not a curated record. NCBI's taxonomy places the organism in Eukaryota, Viridiplantae, Streptophyta, Magnoliopsida, Malpighiales, Salicaceae.
CUUGAACCAAGGGGCAGGCAUGGAGACCUGUAAUUUCCCUGGUUUUCAAAAGAAAGAGAAAGGACGAGUAAUUAUUUUCAAUAUUUUUUCUUCUUUUAUUUUCUCCGAUUGAAAAGAGCAGAGCUGGAUGACAAUCGGCCGCUCAACAUAGUUAUUGAGCUGUGGCGUUCACAUUUUAAAUCGGGGAGUCAUGAUGUUUUGAGCAGUUGUCUGUGGAAGGAUUCUUCGAAUGUUGUUCAGAAGAAAAAUAAGAUGCCGUCGUUCUGUAUAAAUUGCUCGCUUUCGCUGCCUAAUCAAUACCUACCGUCGCUAUUGAUAAUAACUGGUGAUUUGGUUGCUGCCAAUGCUCGGAUCUAAUGCUGGCUGCCUUUUUCUUAUUCUUUGUUGAUUAAUUGAUGCCUUGUGGCUCUGUCAGUGUGAUGAGUUGGCUUCCUAACUCGGUAUUGUUCCAUGCCCCCUCGUAACGCAUGCAAGCUAUAUAUGUCGUUGAAAACUCAUCUGAUCAGGUCGUCUCGUCUUAAUAAUUAAUAGCUUUGGUUUUGUUUUU